GAGCGGCAAUCGUUCUCUGACGGGGGGGCACCUCGGUGCGUGGUAGCUCAGGACCCCGCGCCCCCCACCCAGAGCGGGUCGGGGGAGGCCCAGCAGCAGCCCUAUCCCUGCCACACGUCUCGAGGCACCUCUGGUGGUGGCAGGGCCGAGCACCGACGACGUAGGGGGAGGCCCGAGCGCUGCAUCGCCCCUGAUGUCGGCGGCCAGGCCGUGGAUGGCGUGGUGUCGGAGCGGCCUGCGACAGUGCACACGUCUGAGCCAUGCACAUGAUAGGCAGAGCGUCAGCGUGGCUCAAGCGUAUCUCCCACUCCCCGCCCCCUCACUGCCCACUGGUUGGAGGGGCCUGGGUGUCGCCGCCGAGGGGGACGCGCCAGGUGGCGGCCGGCAUAGUGUGAGCGGCGGUGAGGCGACCCGCGGAGCGGGAGUGCUGGGUGGCGUUUGAGGCCGAGGCGGCCCACUCAGAUGGCUGAGUGGGCGCACUGCUGUAGCGCGUGUCUAGGGCUGCGUCGCGCCAGGCGACGGGCCUUUGGCGGGCCGGGUAGAGCUGAGUUGAGGUCGUGCUCUGUGGCAGCGGCAUGGACCUUUUGAAGCGAAGCGCCAAUGGCCAGCAUUCCUGUUUCGCGCAAUGGGAUCGCUGACAGAUCUGUGCACGACCUUCGUGACAGAGAAGAAAGACGUUUGUGUGUCAUGCGAGCAAGGAUGAGAUGUGUGCUGGCGUGUGCGUAUACAUAGGUGUAGGAGGGGCUUAGGUGAGUCGAAACGUGGCAGCGAACACAAGCACUGACACAAAGGCCUGCACUUCGCUAGACGGAUGCGCGAGUCUUUGUAAUGCCCUUCUCGCUCGCCUUCCGCCCUUGUGCUUUUAUGGCCCCCGUCAAGUCAGAGCGUUUGCUCUCUUUCUUCAUCUUUUGUUUUGACGUGCACGAGCGCCUCCUUUCGUUUUCAUUCACGAGCGUGCUACAGUUCUCUGAGUGUCAUCAAACCCUGAAG
This 990-nucleotide unclassified non-coding RNA is filed under the name Leishmania donovani. Its description in RNAcentral is "gene:unknown". The record is from RNAcentral. Lineage: Eukaryota; Euglenozoa; Kinetoplastea; Trypanosomatida; Trypanosomatidae.